AUGACCCACACAAUUUCUUCCUUCCAAUUUCUUCUUCUCUUCUCAUUCUCAUCUCACAGUGUUCCCUUUCUUCUCCGAACAGUCGCCGCCGCCGCCACCACAGUCGUCCCUCGUGCCCAUCCCGUGCCCGCCUCCACUGUUGUCACUCUUCCCUUUCUUCGAUCGUCUUUGUGCUUGCCACCACCAUCUGUAGUCCUUUUCUUCGACCACGUUCGUGUCCAACCCUCACCACCACCGUUGCACGUCCACAUCUGUCUCACAGGCUCAAAUCUAGUCUGCUUGUGGCUAGAUAUGUUGCAAGAGCGCCGAUUAGCUGUCAUUCGAAAGGUUCAAUAGUCUGUGAUGCUUCCUGAUGGAACUCCAGCGUCGGUGGCAGCCGCAGCAAGGCUUAAUCAACGACAGGGGUAGCAUAGUGUAUUUUGAUCAUAUAGUAGUAAGUUCUUCUUUUGCUUUAUUUCAUGGAGUCGAGAAGUUGUCAAGUGGUUGUUUAAGAGUACUGGGUUGUUAUCCUUUUGUUUAGGAGGUGUGUUUCUAGUGUGUAUAACUCUUGAUUCUCUUUAAUCAUUUCAAAUUAGCCAGAAACAAUUUUCCAUGAAGAAGAUGAUUUACAUUAAUUUUAGGUUAUUAACUCUAGCUCACAUAAUAAUAAUACUAAGAAGAAGGUGGUUUAAUAAUGAUACAAUAUUGUAAAACAAAAAGUUAUUUUGUUUGCAUAUAAAUCUGGUAUGGAUGAUGAUGACUUAUUUCUUAUACUUUCAUUAGGCUUUUCGACUUGGUAUGGUGCUUCUUGUUUUGAAUGCUUCUUAGAUAUUUUCAUUUAUCUUGUUUGUUAAUUUUCAGAUUCUUUUCUUGGGUUUGUAGGCUACUUUGGCUGAUUCCUUUCUAGCAUAUCUUGAUGAACUCUCUAAUGUAAACAAGUUUCAGGUUUCUAAAGGCUUUUUACUUCUCCGUGUAAAUGAAGUAAUAACUAUGUUGGUUGUUAUGACCAAAACCUUCAGAUUUGUAUGGAAAACAUACAUGGAAAAUAGAGAAAUUUUCUCAACUUACCAAACGAGAACUUCGAAGUAAUGCUUUUGAGGUUGGAGGCUAUAAAUGGUUGGAGCCAUUUUGCACAGUUUACAAUAGCAGUGGUGAAUAAGGAUCCAAAGAAAUCAAAAUAUUCUGAUACAUUACAUCGGUUCUGGAAGAAAGAACAUGACUGGGGAUGGAAAAAAUUCAUGGAGCUCUCAAAAUUGUUAGAUGGUUUUAUUGACGCUGACACUCUCAUAAUAAAGGCACAAGUUCAAGUGAUUAGAUGGCUUCAGUGAUUGCUGCAAAUCUUUUAACAAGCAUAAAACUCAUAGAUUUGUUAUGCGUUGUAGUGACGUGGGUGUUUUCUAUUAUAAAACUUUAUGCUAGAUUUGCAAGACAUCACAAAAGCAAGAAAGAUACCGAAGCGUGCUUUGCCUAUUAUUUGCUUCAGAGAAGUCAGCCCCCCAUUGUCGGAUGCUUCAAACACUUCCAUUAUAGAUUCAGUGUUGCAGAAGAGCUGAUCAUUUCAGCAGCAGACAUGAGGCUCAACUUAACUCAGUCAGAUAACUCUAGUAAUGUCAGUGGGAUUAGUUUGAUGGGCUUUGCUUGUCUUGGUUCAAUUCCUUCAGCUGCCCUGCAUGAUUAAUAAUUCUAAACUUCUGAUUUUGAGACUGAAGAGUUGAAUAGGGAGCGUUUUGAAUUUUUUACCUCUUGAAAUGAUUUCAUUUUCAUUUCUAUUUUGAUCUCUUAGAAGCCAAUACCUCUGGUUUGUUAGGACUUUGUCUGCCUCUUCUUAAAUAUAUUAGUGAUUGAAAGUAAUU
This is an RNA transcript of Cucumis melo (muskmelon), 1832 nucleotides long. It is a transcript of the gene named TNF receptor-associated factor homolog 1a-like, with no coding region annotated. The transcript is spliced from 8 exons. Lineage: Eukaryota; Viridiplantae; Streptophyta; Magnoliopsida; Cucurbitales; Cucurbitaceae. The record is from RefSeq and is a predicted model, not a curated record.